This 467-nucleotide ribosomal RNA is filed under the name bacterium Fw70s-82. RNAcentral describes it as "bacterial SSU rRNA". It matches the Rfam family "Bacterial small subunit ribosomal RNA", at positions 30 to 494 of the family's 1533-position model. The record is from RNAcentral.
AUUGAACGCUGGCGGAAUGCUUUACACAUGCAAGUCGAACGGUAGAGGGGGCAACCCCUUGAGAGUGGCGAACGGGUGAGUAAUAUAUCGGAACGUGCCCAGUCGUGGGGGAUAACGUAGCGAAAGUUACGCUAAUACCGCAUACGAUCUACGGAUGAAAGCGGGGGAUCGCAAGACCUCGCGCGAUUGGAGCGGCCGAUAUCAGAUUAGGUAGUUGGUGAGGUAAAGGCUCACCAAGCCAACGAUCUGUAGCUGGUCUGAGAGGACGACCAGCCACACUGGAACUGAGACACGGUCCAGGCUCCUACGGGAGGCAGCAGUGGGGGAUUUUGGACGAUGGACGCAAGUCUGAUCCAGCCAUUCCGCGUGCAGGAUGAAGGCCCUCGGGUUGUAAACUGCUUUUGUACGGAACGAAAAGGUCUCUCUUAAUACGGGGGGCUCAUGACGGUACCGUAAGAAUAAGCACG